UACGUAGGGGGCAAGCGUUGUCCGGAAUCAUUGGGCGUAAAGCGCGUGUAGGCGGCCAGGUAAGUCCGUUCUGAAAGCCCGGGGCUCAACCCCGGGAGGCGGAUGGAUACUGCUUGGCUCGAGUCCGGAAGAGGCGAGUGGAAUUCCCGGUGUAGCGGUGAAAUGCGCAGAUAUCGGGAGGAACACCAAUGGCGAAGGCAGCUCGCUGGCACGGUACUGACGCUGAGACGCGAAAGCGUGGGGAGCAAACAGG
This 253-nucleotide ribosomal RNA is filed under the name uncultured bacterium. Its description in RNAcentral is "partial 16S ribosomal RNA". It matches the Rfam family "Bacterial small subunit ribosomal RNA", at positions 524 to 776 of the family's 1533-position model. The record is from RNAcentral.